UGCGGUGAUGGUGUAAUAGGUAAACACACGUAUUCAAAAUACGAGUAUCGCAGGUUCGAACCCUGCCACCGAAA
Molecule: transfer RNA, 74 nt
Filed under: Acetobacterium paludosum
Lineage: Bacteria; Bacillati; Bacillota; Clostridia; Eubacteriales; Eubacteriaceae
Description: tRNA-Leu
Rfam family: tRNA
About the family: Transfer RNA (tRNA) molecules are approximately 80 nucleotides in length.
Source: RNAcentral